Molecule: long non-coding RNA, 1488 nt
Organism: Symphalangus syndactylus (siamang)
Lineage: Eukaryota; Metazoa; Chordata; Mammalia; Primates; Hylobatidae
Source: RefSeq, a predicted model, not a curated record
AGAAAGGCGUGGUGGGCGGCGGGGAAGGGGCGGCUCUCGAGUAGCCGGUAGAGCUCGGCGUACUCGCCCCGCUGGAAGGCCACCAGGGCCCGCGCGCGCAGCACCGGGUCGCUGCCACGUAGGCGCUCGGCCGGGGGCAGUGCGCCCAGGAAGCGGCUCAAGCGGCCGGCGUGGCCCGCCUGGAGCAGCGCCUCGCAGACGCACGCCACCUGCUCGGGCGAGAAGCGGAGGCCUGUGGACGGUUCGGAAGCGGCCUCGGGGGGCGACCCGGGGACGCCCGGGGAUCCCGGGCCCUCAGCUCCCGCAGCCGCUUCGCCCGCCCCGGCCCCAGCCGCCGCCGCCGCCUCACCCUCGGCCGCCUGCAAAGUCUGCAAGAGCUGGCGCGCUUCCUCCUCCUCCUCUUCGGUCGCCGCCGCCGCCACCGCCUCCCCCCCGGCCGCCGGCCCCGCGCUCGGCUCCGCAGGCAAGGUGUCUAUACACGCCCCGCGGAGCAGACGGCCCACCUCCUCCCGGUCCUCCGGGGAAGGGGACACAUGAGGGACUCGCCUGUGGCUCCCUCUGCCUGCAGCAACUCCAUCCGCUCCUGCAACUGCCGGACGUGUGCCUCUAGGUCCCGGUUCCGAGCCUCUGCCUCACGUAGUUGACUGUGGGGAGGUAAGGACGGUGAGUCCGUCCGGGCCGGAGGAGAGGGGCUGCCAAGGGUUGCCACGGGCCCCGCGCCCCGGCCCUGACCCCGACCUGGCGAAGUUCUGGUUGUCCGUGCGGAUGGCCUCCAUCUCCCGGCUCAAGCUCUGCCGGGUGAGCACCUCCUCCUCCAGGGCCUCCUGGAGCUCCCGCAGCGUCACCUCGGCCUCAGCCUCCACCGCAGGGAUAGCCGCUGGAACUGCCACUUCAGCCUGUGUAUGGGAACCAGGCUUAAGGCUGCCUGUGGCUCCCGGAGGACUCAGGACUUGGGCACUGGUUCCAGGCUAGGGAUCCUUGCUUAUCCCCUACUCCUCCGUCCCCUCAAAAUUUCUGGAAUCCCCAUAGCUCCUGCAAUGAUCCAAGCCCCCUCCCUCCCCUACCUCCCUCAGCCCCAUCCCUGAGUCUGGUCCUCUAAAUCUACACAGGGACCAGAGGGCUGGUGCUCAAAUGCUAACACAACCUAUGUCCCUCUGCUGCUCAAAAUCCCUCCAGCUCCCUAAUGCCCUCAUGACAAAAGGCCUUGCUGGGUUUUGUUUCCUGCUGGCCUCUCCAGCCUUCUCAGGAACGAUUCCGCCAAACUACCUUUCAGGAACAAAUCAGGAUUCCCACCUGCCCAAGGCCUUUGCCCUUGAGGCUCUCACCUGACCACGUGGCACCUUUCCUUCCAAGGCUGGUUUCUCCUUCGGGAGCGCUCAGCUAAAAGAUCAACUCCUCAGAUCCCCAGCAACACACACACCCUUACUUAAUGCCCCACUGUAACUACAGAGACCGUGUCAUGUCUGAAGUAACCUCGUCUCUCCGUGA